GGCGUCCGAGUUGUAAUUUGUAGAGGAUGCUAUUGGGUUGCCACCGGUCUAAGUUCCUUGGAACAGGACGUCACAGAGGGUGAGAAUCCCGUAUGUGACCGGCCAGGCGCUCUCUGUAUAGCUCCUUCGACGAGUCGGGUUGUUUGGGAAUGCAGCCCUAAAUGGGAGGUAAAUUUCUUCUAAAGCUAAAUACCGGCCAGAGACCGAUAGCGCACAAGUAGAGUGAUCGAAAGAUGAAAAGCACUUUGGAAAGAGAGUUAAAAAGCACGUGAAAUUGUUGAAAGGGAAGCGCUUGCAAUCAGUCUCGACGGCGGCUGUUCGGCCCCUCUUCUGAGUGGUUUAUUCAGUCGCCGCCGGGCCAGCAUCAGUUUUGGCGGUCGGAUAAAGGCGCGGGGAAUGUAGCUCCCUCGGGAGUGUUAUAGCCCCGCGUGCAAUACGGCCCGCCGGGACUGAGGUCCGCGCUUCGGCUAGGAUGCUGGCGAAAUGGUUGUAAGCGGCCCGUCUUGAAACACGGACCAAGGAGUCUAACAUCUACGCGAGUGUUUGGGUGUCAAACCCGUGCGCGCAAUGAAAGUGAACGGAGGUGGGAACCGCAAGGUGCACCAUCGACCGAUCCUGAUGUCUUCGGAUGGAUUUGAGUAAGAGCGUAGCUGUUGGGACCCGAAAGAUGGUGAACUAUGCCUGAAUAGGGUGAAGCCAGAGGAAACUCUGGUGGAGGCUCGCAGCGGUUCUGACG
RNAcentral lists this ribosomal RNA (736 nucleotides) under Elsinoe ichnocarpi. RNAcentral's name for it is "eukaryotic LSU rRNA". It matches the Rfam family "Eukaryotic large subunit ribosomal RNA", at positions 133 to 891 of the family's 3401-position model. Lineage: Eukaryota; Fungi; Ascomycota; Dothideomycetes; Myriangiales; Elsinoaceae. The record is from RNAcentral.